CAUCACUCUGUAUCCCAGUAACUUCCCAGCUUCUCGUAUUGUGGCAGCUAAAUAAUCUGCAUCACUUUGUAUCCCAGUAACUUCCCAGCUACUCUUUCGCAGCAGCUAAAUAACCUGCAUCGCUCUGUAUCACGGUAACUUCACAGCUUCUCGUACUGCGGCAGCUAAAUAACAUGCAUCUCUCUGUAUCCCGGUAACUUCCCAGCUUCUCAUAUUGUAGCAGCUAAUUGCUUUGUAUCCCAGUAACUUCCCAGCUUCUCGUAUAGCGGCAGCUAAAUAACCUGCAUCGCUCUGUAUCACGGUAACUUCCCAGCUUUUCGUACCGCAGCAGCUAAAUAACCUGCAUCUGGCUGUAUCUCGGUAACUUCCCAGCUUCUUAUAUCGUGGCUGCUAAAUAUCCCGCAUCGCUUUGUAUCCUGGUAACUUCCCUGCUUCUCUUUCGCAGCAGCUAAAUAACCUGCAUCGCUCUGUAUUCCUGUAACUUCCCAGCUUCUCAUAUCGCGGCAGCUAAAUAACCUGAUUCGCUCUGUAUCACGAUAACUUCCCAGCUUCUCGUAUCCUGCCAGCUAAAUAAUCUGCAUCUCGCUGUAUCAUGGUAACUUCCCAGCUUCUCGUAUCGCGGCAGUGAAAUAACCCGCAUCGCUCUGUAUCACAGUAACUUCCCAGCUUCUUGUAUCGCGGCAACUAUAUAACCCGCAUCCCAGCUGUAUCACGGUAACUUCCCAGCUUCUCGUAUAGCGGCAGCUAAAUAACCUGCAUCGCUCUGUAUCACGGUAACUUCCCAGCUUCUCGUAUCGCUGCAGCUAAAUAACCCGCAUCCCGCUGUAUCACAGUAACUUCCCAGCUUCUCGUAUCUCAGCAGCUAAAUAACCUGUAUCGCUCUGUAGCCCGGUAACUUCCCAGCUACUCAUAUCGGCGCAGCUAAAUAUCCUGCAUCGCGCUGUAUUCUGGUAACUUCCCAGCUUCUCGUACCGCGACAGCCAAAUAACCUGCAUCUCACUGUAUCACAGUAACUUCCCAACUUCUCGUACCGUGGCAGCUAGAUAACCUGCAUCGCUCUGUAUCCUGGUAACUUCCCAGCUUCUCGUAUCGCGGUAACGUUUGGCCAGUGUGAAUGCAGCAAUGUGAAGCAAAAUAAUAAGUAAUCUCUAAAUGUGCGUCCUGAUAUGCUGAGACGGUAAGAAAAAGGAGCAGGAGUGCUAAAUAAAAAGCAGGUUUUCAUCAUGUCCAAUCUGCUGGGAGGGAAUACAACCAGGAGUAAUGCUGCCAUGUACAACCGAUUGUGAAACAAAGACAUUUAAACCAUGUGAAAUGGCUAAACCGUAACCCUGGCAAAUGACGAUCUGUCAGCUGAAUUCUGGGAAACACUGAAACCCCAGUUUUUGACGUCACGCUAUUGCAUAACGUGUUUUGUUUCCUUCUCACUGUCUCCAAACAUUGCUUUAUGAAACGGACGAAUAUAUAGCCCCU
This is a non-coding RNA of Pelobates cultripes (western spadefoot toad), 1470 nucleotides long. NCBI's taxonomy places the organism in Eukaryota, Metazoa, Chordata, Amphibia, Anura, Pelobatidae. The record is from the annotation of a GenBank genome assembly.